UAGUUAACUCUCAAUGCUGCUCUAUAUUGAGUGAGACAGCCUAUUCUCCUACUAUUCUUCAUGUAAGGCGUCUGCCACAAUCAAUGUAUUAUAAUCAUUAGUUCGUAGGCUUACACAAUUAUUAUAAUUAGUAACAUUUAUGUAACAUAUAUUAGUAACAUGUCCUGUUGAAACCUUGCUUACCCAAUCAUUCUUGAAAUAUUUUGGCCUCACUGUGGAGAGCCAUUUGAUGUACAGUUUAAUCUGUUGACUGAAGAUGGUCUCAACAGUGAAAUAAAAAUAUUUCUGGAAUUUAAUUUCCAGCUUGUAGAUUCAGGAGUUCCACCAUUUGCAUAUGAUUGGGACAUUUCUAAACACCUUUUAUUGGCUGAUAAAAAAAUAUCAGAGACAUUAAAAUCACCAAGAAGAGAACUUAAUCAAUUCAUCAUUAAUUAUAUGUCUGACUUUUUACAAGAACUAUGGGAUUUGUACAAAAAAGUUGCUAUGCAACGUGGUGCAGUGUUUGAAUCAACCAAACAUCUCGUAGAAGUACAAGGUCCAGUUUUUUUUAAUGAGACAUUCAACUAUGAAAAUUUGCAAGAAGGAUUUGGAUGGUCUAAUAGAACACUUAGCACAUUUAAAAAGCUUGUAAGUGACACAAGGAAUGUAUGGGAAAACAUAAAUAAACACUUUUAUAGUUAUAAAUUUUAAGACACACUUUUUAAUGCCUUAAAAUGCUAAACAACAUUUAAUUUUUGUCUUUUUUCUUAACUUAAACUUGAAAAAGAGUUUAUUUUCAUAGUAUUGUAUAUGCUUGGAUAUAAAUAGAAAAGCAAUAAAUUAAAGUGUUCCUUACAGACACAGA
Long non-coding RNA from Homalodisca vitripennis (glassy-winged sharpshooter), 844 nucleotides. RefSeq lists it as uncharacterized. The transcript is spliced from 2 exons. The record is from RefSeq and is a predicted model, not a curated record. Lineage: Eukaryota; Metazoa; Arthropoda; Insecta; Hemiptera; Cicadellidae.